GCAGAUUCAAGAUUAUGAUGCUCAUCACGUACAAGACACUUCCAAUGUCUUCUCUCACGAGCGGGCCAAGGUCUGAGCUUAUCUCCCACAUCGGUCCUAGCAGGUCCUGGUCUUUACGGACUCACGCGACGUACCAGAAAUCCGUUCAUUCCUUGCUCCUUACACCCCACGAUCUUGUCUUUUCAUACGUUCUGUGCUUGCUAUAGCUGGCCUGCCGUUACUGGGAGGGUAAAGGAGGGUUCUUUGCAUCGAAUCCGAACUUGAAACCGUCGCGGAGAUUCGAGCAUCCAGCUCGUCACUCAUCGCAUCGCGCUUCCUACCAUACGUACCACCGGCACCGUCAUACCACUCCCAGGCGAUGUAUGGAGUGGGGAGGGGAGAUCUCCUGUGUCUCCCUCUUCUAAAUGACUUAAAGACAGUGCACAUGUUUUCAUGGGGUUGCUGGACGCGUACGUUGGUCCCGUGGGCGUGCAGACUUGGAGUCUCGCGUUCGGUUCCAUAAGACGUACAGUGCACGGGGAACGUAUUGAAGCGCGAUGCAAUGUUUUGAGCGGGUUGCUCUUGAGUGCAAUUCAUGGUAGCUGCUCCUCCACUUGUUUGGAGAGCGGUCAACUCGAUUCAGACUACUCUGGGUCUGC
This 638-nucleotide RNase P RNA is filed under the name Hydnomerulius pinastri MD-312. Its description in RNAcentral is "Nuclear RNase P". It matches the Rfam family "Nuclear RNase P". From Rfam's summary of the family: Ribonuclease P (RNase P) is a ubiquitous endoribonuclease, found in archaea, bacteria and eukarya as well as chloroplasts and mitochondria. Its best characterised activity is the generation of mature 5'-ends of tRNAs by cleaving the 5'-leader elements of precursor-tRNAs. Cellular RNase Ps are ribonucleoproteins. The record is from Rfam by way of RNAcentral. Lineage: Eukaryota; Fungi; Basidiomycota; Agaricomycetes; Boletales.